GACGAACGCUGGCGGCAUGCCUAAUACAUGCAAGUCGGGCGAAUGAUGAAGAAGCUUGCUUCUUCUGAUUUAGCGGCGGACGGGUGAGUAACACGUGGGCAACCUGCCCUGUAGAUUGGGAUAACUCCGGGAAACCGGGGCUAAUACCGAAUAAUCCAUUUCCUCUCAUGGGGAGAUGUUAAAAGACGGCAUCUCGCUGUCACUACAGGAUGGACCCGCGGCGCAUUAGCUAGUUGGUGGGGUAACGGCCUACCAAGGCGACGAUCAGUAGCCGGACUGAGAGGUUGAACGGCCACAUUGGGACUGAGAUACGGCCCAG
RNAcentral lists this ribosomal RNA (319 nucleotides) under uncultured bacterium. RNAcentral's name for it is "bacterial SSU rRNA". It matches the Rfam family "Bacterial small subunit ribosomal RNA", at positions 28 to 334 of the family's 1533-position model. The record is from RNAcentral.